Molecule: long non-coding RNA, 373 nt
Organism: Helianthus annuus (common sunflower)
Lineage: Eukaryota; Viridiplantae; Streptophyta; Magnoliopsida; Asterales; Asteraceae
Exons: 3
Source: RefSeq, a predicted model, not a curated record
UAGGUGUGUGUGUCGGGAUCGAACUAAAGGGGAGAAACAAGGGGACACCCUUGUUUUCAAAGAACCCAAGAAAUUGAAGGGGAAUCUCAUUGCAAAUCAAGUGCAUGAAGUCAAAUUCUGUAUAAUCUAAGCUUUCUAAACAAACGCGAUAAAGGAAGAAAGUUCAAGCCACACGAAGCAAGAAGGAAAUCACGACCGAGGUAAAACUCAAGUUUAGGUGGUUAUGCUUCGCUUGGAUCGAACACACUUUGAAUGCUGUUCAUGCGCUUCCGCAAAUUUUGUAUAACAUGUAAAAGGGUCAAAACACUUUUGUUAAAUGGCUUAUGUUUAGCAGUUGAAUCUUAAAGUUAAACAUGUUUUGUUAUUUUGUAAA